AUCCAGGUGAUGAGUCCCAAAUAGAACGAGACGCACGUCCUGGUU
Non-coding RNA from Schistosoma margrebowiei, 45 nucleotides. NCBI's taxonomy places the organism in Eukaryota, Metazoa, Platyhelminthes, Trematoda, Strigeidida, Schistosomatidae. The record is from Rfam.